UGGGGAAUAUUGGACAAUGGGCGAAAGCCUGAUCCAGCCAUGCCGCGUGUGUGAAGAAGGUCUUCGGAUUGUAAAGCACUUUAAGUUGGGAGGAAGGGCAGUAAGCGAAUACCUUGCUGUUUUGACGUUACCGACAGAAUAAGCACCGGCUAACUCUGUGCCAGCAGCCGCGGUAAUACAGAGGGUGCAAGCGUUAAUCGGAAUUACUGGGCGUAAAGCGCGCGUAGGUUGUUCGGUAAGUUGAAUGUGAAAGCCCCGGGCUCAACCUGGGAACUGCAUCCAAAACUGGCGAGCUAGAGGAGGGCAGAGGGUGGUGGAAUUUCCUGUGUAGCGGUGAAAUGCGUAGAUAUAGGAAGGAACACCAGUGGCGAAGGCGACCACCUGGGCUCAUACUGACACUGAGGUGCGAAAGCGUGGGGAGCAAACAGG
RNAcentral lists this ribosomal RNA (429 nucleotides) under Pseudomonadota bacterium. RNAcentral describes it as "Proteobacteria bacterium partial 16S ribosomal RNA". It matches the Rfam family "Bacterial small subunit ribosomal RNA", at positions 355 to 776 of the family's 1533-position model. Lineage: Bacteria; Pseudomonadati; Pseudomonadota. The record is from RNAcentral.